RNAcentral lists this non-coding RNA (251 nucleotides) under Bacillus sp. (in: firmicutes). Its description in RNAcentral is "Bacillus sp. T-box sequence". It matches the Rfam family "T-box leader". From Rfam's summary of the family: Uncharged tRNA acts as the effector for transcription antitermination of genes in the T-box leader family. T-boxes are found upstream of many aminoacyl-tRNA synthetase genes and some amino acid biosynthetic genes usually in Gram-positive bacteria. Lineage: Bacteria; Bacillati; Bacillota; Bacilli; Caryophanales; Bacillaceae. The record is from RNAcentral.
AUUAACUCGUUGAGCAAGAGGAGUACACUAAUUUAUUUCUUCCAAGAGAGUCGGGGUAGGUGGGAGCCCGAUAAGAAAGGAUUUGUGGAAUGGACUUGUGAGAGGCAUCUUGAAGUAAGAGUAGGGAUGCACGGAACUCCACCGUUAAAAGGAUAGGAUAUCGAACGGAUUGUUCCGUAUCUGAAGAGGAAGCAGGUUUUAUCCACUGCUUCAAACGGAGGUGGCACCACGACCAUAGAAUCGUCCUCUAU